UGAGGAAUAUUGGUCAAUGGGCGAGAGCCUGAACCAGCCACGUCGCGUGAAGGAAGACUGACCUUACGGUUUGUAAACUUCUUUUGUAGAGGGGUAAUGGCAGAUACGUGUAUUUGCGUGAAAGUACUCUACGAAUAAGCAUCGGCUAACUCCGUGCCAGCAGCCGCGGUAAUACGGGGGAUGCGAGCGUUAUCCGGAAUUAUUGGGUUUAAAGGGUGCGCAGGUGGCUAAUCAGGUCAGUGGUGAAAAGCUAUGGCUCAACCAUGGUCUUGCCAUUGAAACCGUAUAGCUAGAGAGGAGACGAGGUAGGCGGAAUGUGUGGUGUAGCGGUGAAAUGCAUAGAUAUCACACAGAACUCCGAUUGCGAAGGCAGCUUACCAGGCUUUAUCUGACACUUAGGUACGACAGCGUGGGGAUCAAACAGG
Molecule: ribosomal RNA, 425 nt
Filed under: Verrucomicrobiota bacterium
Lineage: Bacteria; Pseudomonadati; Verrucomicrobiota
Description: Verrucomicrobia bacterium partial 16S ribosomal RNA
Rfam family: Bacterial small subunit ribosomal RNA
Source: RNAcentral